Molecule: long non-coding RNA, 2113 nt
Organism: Cebus imitator (Panamanian white-faced capuchin)
Lineage: Eukaryota; Metazoa; Chordata; Mammalia; Primates; Cebidae
Exons: 3
Source: RefSeq, a predicted model, not a curated record
AUUCAUUCCACAUUCUCUAAGUGCCCAUGGUGACCCAGGAAUAACAGGAAUCUCAGGGUUCCAUAGCUGAGUAGAACAUGACUCCCAUCCUUAGAGACCCACCAUCCAGUAGAGGAGAAGGGUGUCUAGGCAGAAGACAAAGAGGAAAGGAAAAACUCAGUGCUGUUUCUUCAACUCAGCUUCUCCAUUUUUUAGAGAAGGGUUAAUGGAGGAAACAGAGAGAGACGAGAGACCAAAGUUUCCAGGGCCUUUGUCUUUAGAGCAAGGGUCUUAAACCUUAGAGAGCAAAAACUGACCCGGAAGACUUGUUGGAGGCAUAGCUUCCAGUUCAGCAAGCCUAUUUCAGCAGGUUGGAGAACCCCUGACUGCAACAUGUGCUGAUCUCCAAGGGUGAGGCUGGAUGAAGCCAAGGGCUGUGGAAAAGGAGACUGUUUCAUAGAACUUGACACCAUCUUUAGUAAUUUCCCUGGUUCUUGGGCAGCUCCUUUUGGCUGUGUCCCUACACUGCACAACCCUCCCAGCUAGUCUACUCCAGGGCAGCAUCCAGCUGGUGACCUGAGUGGGCAGCGGUGCACCAGUCUCCAUGAAGGUUGAGCUCGGAUGGCCAACAGCAGUUUCCACCUCAUGGUCUACAACUCUUCAUCCUGAUUGCAUGGAGAUUGGUCUCUCUCUUCAGCUGGAUUUAGGCUACCAUCUGAGCCCUGAGGUAUGUUUAGUCUGACCCUGGCACUCUUUGACUCUUCUACAGCAUCAGGCAUUCACCUGGUUCCUGGGUCUUUUGUGCUGUAGCCCUAUAGUUCUAGCUACUUUUGGAAAAAAUCUUUCUGGAGGCCCAAUGAGCUUGUCACAUCAGCCUGUCCAGAGGUAACGCACAUUUCCCUGCAAACAAGUGCCUCUCCCUUGCUGUCUUUAACUUAAUCAAGGCACAUAGCACCCUCUCCAACGCUGAGCAAGCUCAGAUCCUCCUGGUUUUCAUGGUGUCUUUCUUUUUCCUUAUUCCAUUGGUCUAAUCUGAUUGAAUUUAAAUUUUGUACAUUUUGCAUCAGUCAUUCUCUUGCAUGAAUCUCUUUCUCUUCCUCCCUUCUACUGUCACCAGCUCUUGUCCUCUUUUCUGGACUGCUAAAUAACCUCUUUAGUGGUGUACCUGUGGUCUUCCCUUCCCCUCCUCUAAAUCUAUUCUCUACUCAGUAUCAAAAAAGACUUAACCAGCAAUGAAUUCUUCCCACCCAACCCUUGACCCAUUGUCAUUCUCUGGCAUCAGAUCCUCACCAGCAGGGCAAAGUGCAACUGCGGCCAGCUCAUGCCUUCAAGAGAAGGACUGAAGGUCAUUGUGUGCCUGAACCAAGUAAGUCUAACUGCUCCUUCACUGGCUCACCCAAAACUAUAGGGGCUUUCUAAGACCACAUUCCCAUGGCUCUGGGAGUUCCUCCAAGCUUGAACUCUGGUCUAGUUUCCCCAGUUUAUAUCCUAUGCUUCAUACCAAGAUCUUCCCACUUUGCCUAUCCUAUAAGAAGUAGCGGCCAGGUUGAACUUUCUGAUGAGUUUUGGAGGUUGCUUCUUGGCUCACCCUUGGUACCUUGGUCUACUAGUCACAGGUAAGCUCCACAAAGUCUAGGUGACUGGGACACUGCAACCCAGUCCAGGCCCAACACUAUGGCCUUCUACUGGUUAGGCACAGGAUCCAGAUGAGACUUCUAGUGCCCAUAAUAAAGAUGAUGAGGUUUGCAAAUGUGAAGUUCGCUGGCAACUUCUUAUAGUUCGUAACAAAUAUUUAUAGUUUGCACAUUCAUUGAGUCAUCCAACAAGUAUUUAUAGAGACCACCAAGUACCAUAUACAUUCUAUAAUGUUAGGGAUAUAGCAGGGAGAAUGUCAGACAAGGUUUCUGCUCAUCAAAUCUGUAUUCUACUGUUGGAGGAAAAGAGAUAGCAUCAGUAAUUGUCAAUGAUCUUAAAUGUCUGAAGACAAUUAGCUGUAUAAGAUGUAAGUGACUGAGAGAGAAGGGCUAUUUUAGACAAAAUGCUCAAGGAAUUAGCUCUGGGAAUAUGACAAACAAAGAUCUGAAUGACAAGAAGAUAGUAUGCCAAUUUUGGUGGGCAGGGUACAGUGGGUAGA